AUGUUGAGUCCAUGGAUUAUACGCACUCUCACCCUUCCAUCAUUGCUAGCCUCUUAUCUUCCUCAAAACAGCCACCAUACCCACCUAUUAUGGCAUUUCCAUAGCCAUUCCGAGAUAUAUUGCCAUGCAACUUUCCACCGUUCCGUUUAUUAUGACACGCAUCAUCAUUGCCAUAUUGUCUUGCAUGAUCAUGUGGUUGACAUCGUAUUUGUGGCAAAGUCACCAUUCAUAAUUUUCUCAUACAUGUCACUCAUGAGUCAUUGCACAUCCCGGUACACCGCCGGAGGCAUUCAUAUAGAGUCAUAUCUUGUUCUAGUAUUGAGUUGUAAUCAUUGA
RNAcentral lists this ribosomal RNA (336 nucleotides) under Triticum aestivum (bread wheat). Its description in RNAcentral is "partial small subunit ribosomal RNA". Lineage: Eukaryota; Viridiplantae; Streptophyta; Magnoliopsida; Poales; Poaceae. The record is from RNAcentral.